UGGCUUCUGAGCUCAGGGUACCAGGAGGGAUCUUACAAAGACUCCAGGUGUUAGAAGGCCAUAGAUUUGGAAACACUUUACAAAACUGCAAGUUAUCAACGUUUCUAGGUAUAUUUUUGAUUAAGUAAAAAAACCCCAAAUUUACACCGAACAUAUUUAUAAAUAGUUGCACUGUAUUUUUAGUUUUUAGGUUUUUUUGUUUUGUUUUGUUUUGUUUUCUACAGGGAUGUGCCACCAUUCCUGGCUAUUUUUUUAUUAUUAUUAUUAUUUUUUUUUUUUUUUUGAAGAGAUGAGGGUCUUGCUGUGUUGCGCAAGGCUGGGGAGGCCUCAGGAAACUUAUAAUCAUGGUGGAAGGUGAAGGGGAAGCAAGGCCAUCAUCCAGUUACCUCCACCUGGUCUCUCUCUUACACGAGGGGAUUAUGGGGAUUAUAAUUCAAGAUGAGAUUUGGGUGGGAACACAAAGCCUAACCAUAUCAUUCUGCCCCCAAGAUGCAAUGAGGGUACAGGCAUUGGGUAAAUGUUCCCAUUCUAAAUGGGAGAAAUUGGCCAAAACAAAGGGGACACAGGUCCCAUUCAAGUCUGAAAUCUCUAAAAUGUUAUACUUUGAAAAUGUAUGUUCCCUUAACUGCAAAAUAAGGUGAAUAUAGGAUAAAAAAAUAGUAAGACGCUAUAUAUGACGACUCACAAUGUCACUAUUAAAAGGCCAAUAGUGGUAAAAUUUAACUUUAAAGUCAUAUAAUAUGAUCACGAUAUAGGGUUUUGAAUUAUACACUUUCUUGUUUCCUACUUCAAAUGCAGUACUUUGCACAUACGGAGAAUUAAUGUUGCACAUUGCUUUUCAUAUGAAUUUCUUCAAUCGGAAUUUAAUUAGGCACCCUUUUGUUGAGUACAUGGAAUUGUGUGGAACUAAAGGAAGACCUGGAUAAGUCCUAAUCCAAAAGCUAUUCUCCUGGACAGGUCUUGAUUUAUUGCGACUGAGUCCCAACCAACUUUGAUUUAUUUCAGCUUAGGGGAGGAAGGCAAGCUUGGAACAGAAAAGCGCUGUUGAAUGUUGAGCACGUGAUGUCAGGACAGGCCCUCCAGACUUCCAGGGGCACGGGACAAGCGGUUCAGAAGAGAAUGGCUUCUGAGAAAGCCAUUUUAAAACCCUAAGAUUUAAAUAACACGAAAUUGUACCAGACAAAAUAAAUGUAAUCACAGAGGAGAGAAAAUGGCUCCUGAAACAGUUGGCUGAUUGUGGCAGGGUAGGAAGCCCCAGCCUUAUCUCUGGGAAAAGGAGGAAACCCUGGGGGCCUUACUGUUAAUCAGGACUCUCAUUUGCAUUCGGGGGCUGCUCUGUGUGGCCGUCUGUCCUUCCUGAGAGCAAAGGCCAGGAGGACUGCCCCCUCCUCGGCAACACCAACAACUGAUAGUCCAUUAAAUGAGAGCAGAUUUCCUUUUUGCAGGCAGACAGAAUAAGUCAAAAGAAGGCAAAGUUACUCCAUUAAGCAAAGACAAAAGGGUCAGUCCAUUUAACGAACGAAUUUGUUUCCUUUCCGGCCAGGCUUUCCUGACAGAGCCGAUAGUAGAGUGCUGUGCUCACUGCUGUGUCCUUGAGCGUGGGUUGUCAGAACAGUGACUCGCCGGCUCCCACACCAGCAAUGCGCAGUACCUUCCUGUUGGCCAAGUUAGGGCUCAGGGUGGUGCCCACUUAAUACCUCACUGCAGGCUUCACUGGGCCUAGCAUGAUGCCUCGCACAUAGCCAGGAGCCCCCAGCACAGCAGCUUUGACUGCUGACAAAGCCCUGUUCCCUCCUUGGGGGUGGCAGAAGGAGUGCAUGAGAUGGACCUGUCCCCAGUGUCACAUGGUUGACAAAGGGCAACGUCAACAAUUCUCAGAGGCAACGUUAAGUUCCUUAAAAGGGAGAUAAUGGUAGGAAAAAUGUGUUGCAAAACAAAGAAGAGGGGAAGCAGAAGAAAGGGGAUAAGGGCAGAAAAGAUGGAUAGAGGUAGCAUGGCCCAAGCAAGUAAGAACAGCACAAGCUCUGGCAUCCAUGACAUGAGAUCCAAACUCCAUCCCAGCGACUUACCUGCAUGUGCUCUGUGCAAGCUA
This 2092-nucleotide long non-coding RNA is filed under the name Homo sapiens (human). RNAcentral's name for it is "non-protein coding lnc-FOXC1-9:1". The record is from RNAcentral. Lineage: Eukaryota; Metazoa; Chordata; Mammalia; Primates; Hominidae.